RNAcentral lists this ribosomal RNA (336 nucleotides) under Triticum aestivum (bread wheat). Its description in RNAcentral is "partial small subunit ribosomal RNA". Lineage: Eukaryota; Viridiplantae; Streptophyta; Magnoliopsida; Poales; Poaceae. The record is from RNAcentral.
GAAGUCGAAGCUCGAUGGAUUCAUUCUUUGAUUCGCGCAGUGCUGAUUUGGCUCCUGACGGCGGCCUGCAUCAAGACCGGGCGGCUCAAGAUAGCGAGGCGAGCAAUCGAUCUGGCGGAGGCGAGGCUGGCGAGGGACAGCUGGCCGGAGUACUACGACGGCAAGCUCGGCCGGUACGUCGAGAAGCAGGCGAGGAAGCACCAGAUGUGGUCCAUCGCGGGCUACCUGGCGGCCAAGAUGAUGCUGGAGGACCCGUCCCACCUGGGCAUGAUCUUUCUCGAGGAGGACAAGGCCAUGAACCCUGUGCUCAAGAGGUCUGCCUCAUGGACUGUGUGA